UACGGGGGGAGCAAGCGUUGUUCGGAUUUACUGGGCGUAAAGGGCGCGUAGGCGGCCACUGCAAGUCGGUUGUGAAAUCUCCGGGCUUAACCCGGAAAGGUCAAUCGAUACUGCAGGGCUAGAGUGCAGAAGGGGCAACUGGAAUUCUCGGUGUAGCGGUGAAAUGCGUAGAUAUCGAGAGGAACACCUGCGGCGAAGGCGGUUCUCUGGGCCUUACCUGACGCUGAGGAGCGAAAGCGUGGGGAGCGAACAGG
Molecule: ribosomal RNA, 254 nt
Filed under: uncultured bacterium
Lineage: Bacteria
Description: partial 16S ribosomal RNA
Rfam family: Bacterial small subunit ribosomal RNA
Source: RNAcentral